GGAGGGGUGGCAGAGUCCGGUUGAUUGCACUGGUCUUGAAAACCAGCGAAGGUGAAAACCUUCCGGGGGUUCAAAUCCCUCUCCCUCCGCCA
This 92-nucleotide transfer RNA is filed under the name Desulfovibrio sp. RNAcentral describes it as "tRNA-Ser". It matches the Rfam family "tRNA". From Rfam's summary of the family: Transfer RNA (tRNA) molecules are approximately 80 nucleotides in length. Their secondary structure includes four short double-helical elements and three loops (D, anti-codon, and T loops). Lineage: Bacteria; Pseudomonadati; Thermodesulfobacteriota; Desulfovibrionia; Desulfovibrionales; Desulfovibrionaceae. The record is from RNAcentral.